Molecule: long non-coding RNA, 246 nt
Filed under: Lathyrus oleraceus (garden pea)
Lineage: Eukaryota; Viridiplantae; Streptophyta; Magnoliopsida; Fabales; Fabaceae
Description: Pisum sativum (pea) long non-coding RNA (PSAT_LNC017867)
Source: RNAcentral
UCACAUCCAAUGCCCACCCUCGGAAAGGCCAGGACUUCACAAUUGUAUGCAACUCGCUUGCAGGCACAUGCUGUAUGCCCCCAUGCAAUUGGCAUUCCUGACAGCUUUUAGCAAAUUCAAUGCAAUCCUUCAACAUUGAAGGCCAAAAACUCCUGAGCGCAUCAAAAUCCAUUUCAUCUUCCGUCCUGCCUGAUGCGCCCCACACGCUCCACUAUGUACACUAGACACAACCACAUAUGCCUCACU